Molecule: ribosomal RNA, 388 nt
Filed under: uncultured bacterium
Lineage: Bacteria
Description: bacterial SSU rRNA
Rfam family: Bacterial small subunit ribosomal RNA
Source: RNAcentral
GGGUUGUAAACUUCUUUUAUAAAGGAAUAAAGUCGGGUAUGCAUACCCGUCUGCAUGUACUUUAUGAAUAAGGAUCGGCUAACUCCGUGCCAGCAGCCGCGGUAAUACGGAGGAUCCGAGCGUUAUCCGGAUUUAUUGGGUUUAAAGGGAGCGUAGAUGGAUGUUUAAGUCAGUUGUGGAAGUUUGCGGCUCAACCGUAAAAUUGCAGUUGAUACUGGAUGUCUUGAGUGCAGUUGAGGCAGGCGGAAUUCGUGGUGUAGCGGUGAAAUGCUUAGAUAUCACGAAGAACUCCGAUUGCGAAGGCAGCCUGCUAAGCUGCAACUGACAUUGAGGCUCGAAAGUGUGGGUAUCAAACAGGAUUAGAUACCCUGGUAGUCCACACGGUAAA